CACGUAGGGUGCGAGCGUUAAUCGGAAUUACUGGCGUAAAGCGUGCGCAGGCGGCACUAUAAGACAGAUGUGAAAUCCCCGGGCUUAACCUGGGAACUGCGUUUGUGACUGUAGGGCUUGAGUGCGGCAGAGGGGGGUGGAAUUCCGCGUGUAGCAGUGAAAUGCGUAGAGAUGUGGAGGAACACCGAUGGCGAAGGCAGCCCCCUGGGUCGACACUGACGCUCAUGCACGAAAGCGUGGGGAGCAAACA
This 250-nucleotide ribosomal RNA is filed under the name uncultured archaeon. RNAcentral's name for it is "partial 16S ribosomal RNA". It matches the Rfam family "Bacterial small subunit ribosomal RNA", at positions 524 to 774 of the family's 1533-position model. The record is from RNAcentral.